CCCUUGUUUAUGGGCACCUGUGCAUGCAAGGAUCAUAUCGUCUUUGAUCAUGAGUAUUGUGUUAGUUCUAAAUCCAUCUUCAAUCUCAUCGAAAACUUAAUGAUGGUUUGCUCUUGCAGAUUGUUGGUCUAUGUCAAGCUCUAAAUGAUGUUUUGGAUAGCAUGGGCAAGAAGGGCAUUCCUGUUCCUGUUUGACUUGGAUUAUUGCCAAUUUCUUUGUCUAUACAUUCUUCCUGAAUCAUCAAUGUUAUACAUACAUAUAACAUUGAAUUUGACAUAUAUUAUUAGAUUCUAGGUUCGAUUUAUCCAAUGGUUGCACUUUGUUUAAUUCUGAAGUUCAUCGCGAUUGUGGAUAUAAGUUCCAUUAUGUUUUACCCGUGGACAAAUAACCGGCUAAUGAAAGAAUAUGAAGGAUAUGUAAAUGAAAUAGCUCAUAUUAUUUCUUAACCUUGCGAGAAAUAUUGCAUAAAACUUGGUUAGCUUGUGGUUAAGUUUUGUUUGUUUCUUUUUAUCAGAAAACAGGGUCAAUGCAUGUAUUUGAGGGAACAUUGCUUCCUUAUGUUGUUUGUGUUAAGUGUAUUGAAGAUUUAGUACCUUACGCAUAAAGAUCAUGCAUCUCAGAUAUUUUUUUUGUUGUUUGUUUGAAACAUCAUGUGAACUCAUAAUAGAGUUAGAAAGCAGUGUCAUUGUUACCAAUUGACCAAAACAAACUCGAUCUAAUGAAGCCAAACUCGUAUAAGUAACAUUAUUUGUCCUAUCAUCUAUAAAAUAAGUUGAUAUCCAUGCAUUUUAAAAAGAUUUGCUUCCUAAAAAAUAGCAAUGAUAUAUUAAUAUUACAAAAGCCUAACUUAGAAGAUUAUCAUCCUAACCAUCUAAAUGAGAAAGCUCUUGUGAAAUGUAAAUCAUCAUUCAUAAUUCAUUGAUGCUAAUAUAUUAUGAUGUAAAUUACUCUUUUAUUUUUCAAUGGAUUUAGUGCAUUGGUUCUGAUGUGAAACUAAUUGGUAAGUUGCAAGAUAUCUCAACCCUUUCUUGCUCUAAUAAAAUAUGAAAAAAGGAUCAAUGGUAAUAAACCUUUACCCACAAGUGUACAAAACUUCUACUUGGAGAAGAUGAAGAAAGAUAAAGCUUUGUCCUAUUUAAUUAAUGACACAAAUACAACACAAAAGAGUGGCACAAACAAUAAUUGAAGGAAAGAUAGAAUACAUCAAAUAAAAUAUAGAAAUAAAAGAAGACGCCACAUUCUUAGAGAGCCUCAUCGAGUUAGAUCAUUAUAUUGGACUAAGAGUAAUUACACAAGUUAGUUGGAAAAAAUACAUAUUCACCCAAAAUCUAAGACAUUUGGUAUAUGAAAUGUUUUUCAGCUUCAACUCUUCUAUUCAAUGUUCUGUCAAAAAAAAAAAUUCUUCUAUUCAAUGUGAGACUUUAACUAACACAUCACAACAUCUCUCUUCAAGUUUAAAGUUUUCAUUGUCCAUGAUCCAAUACUACGAAUUUUUCAUGCUCCCCAUCAAGUCGAAACAGAGCUUUGAUACUAUUGUUGGAUCAUGAAGGGAAGCUUCACUAAGUUGGAUCAUCACAUUGGAUUAAGAACAACCACAUAAGUGAGUUGGACACCAUAUAUUCACCAAAAAUAUUAAAAUAUUAGGCAUGUGCGUCAUAUCACUUAUAGGUUGAUCAACCUCAACAUUUUCAUUCAAUAAGAUUUUAACUAAAUACUCUUGAUAAGAAUUAACGGUAGUUCUUCUAUUUUAUUUUAUUCAAAGGUGAGAAUACACGUUCCUACAAUAGGCUCUUCAUGAUUGGAUUUGAUUUGAGUGAAAGAAUUCUUUGUUCGACGCUUCUUCACUUGCUUUGUCUUGAACUAAUUUGUCAUUAAGUCCCUUCAUCCUAAUGCAUUAUUCUUCGAUAGAAUUCCUUUCACAUAGUACUCAAUAAGUUUAAGAUUACAUCAAUAACUCAAUUAAACUUUCAAGUUCAAUAAAAUUAUGUAAAAACGUUACUUUUUAUUUUGUUUUUCAAAAGUGUGGAUGGUAUUUUUCUAGUUGGGGGUGAUGACUUGGCUAGUGCAUAAGAUGCAGCAGGGAACAGUAGUUGAACUGUGUCUAACACUUGCAAGCUAUAUUCUUGCCCAAAAAAGGAAACACACAAGAACAUCUUAAAAAAGACAGAAAAAAAAAAAGUUGACAAAGUGUUUUUGUUAUGAAACUAAUGAACCUUUUUAUUAUAGGCUCCCUAUUUUUCCAUUUUCAUGCAAAAGUAGCCUUAAAUUAUGAUGAUAGUUUAAAAUGAAGUAAAGGCCUUGAACAAUAUAUCAUUUCAAUCCCCCAUAUAUUUUCACAUAAACUAUCAAAAAUAUCCAACACCAAAAUAAAAGGUGCUACAUCACCUCUUGCAAGCUUCACUAAUUAAAUUGAUCAUACAUUUCAAUUUAUGUGUUUCAUGGGUUGAUGAAUAGAAACGUAAAAGAGUUAAUUUGUGGUGGACAUUUUAUAAAAUAUUAUCCAACAUAGAUCUCACUAAUAUUAUUUUUUGAGGGGGCACUAAUAAUAUUUCCUCUUUAUUUAAUUGGUUUAAAAAAAAAAAAUGGGAGUAAAAUAAAUAUUUUAAGCUAACAAAUUUUUUACAAUUAAUUAGAAGUAUACACUUAUUUUUGUUAGUUUGAUAGUUAAUUUUUUGGUUCAUUUUGUUUCGAGUUAUCGAGCCGAACUGAGUUGUUCGUGAACUUCAAUUCAAACUUAAAUCUCACCCGUCAUCGAUCAUACUUAACUUUCUUAUUAAAUCUCACCCGUCCAGAAAUCCUCUUCGCCAAUCCGAUAUAUCAAAUGAAAAAUAUACAAUAUAUAAAUCUACCAAUUUAGUAAAAUAAUCAAUUAUAAGUAAACAGUGAAAUCACGUGUAUUCUUCUCUCUUGAUGAAGAGGCCUCAUGGAUCGGACUCCUCCGGUCGGAGAAGAGGUUUUGUCCGACGACGAAGAAAAGGCCGGAGAAGAGAAUCCAGUUUGGUCUCGUGCUGGUGGAAACAAGAUUGUUGCUGUAGGAAACGAGAUCUGUGUUUCUGAAAACAAGAUCGUUUCUGGGAAUCCGUCAUUCUCGGAAACGAUGAUUUUGUUUCCAGCAAUAGCUAUCUUGACUCCACCGGCACGGAUCAUAAAAUUAUAGCUAAAUUAUUUGUUAACAAAGAAAACAUCGCAACCAGUACAAAGCCCUGGAUUUAGUCAUAGCUAAAUUAUAGGUCUUACAGAUCAUGAACCAAAUGAGUCGAACUUUAGUUAAAAAUUAAAUCCGUUAAAUGAGUUGAAAUUGAGCUAUGUGUAGUUCGACUCGUUUAAUUCAUGAACUAUCUCAAUAUACACACAGUUAAUAAAAAUAACUUGGAAGAAACGAUGUAAAUAUUAUGUCAUAUUUUGAAUUACAAAUGUCAUUUUCUAAAAAAACAAACAUUUAAAGAAAAAAACUUGUAUUGAGUUUAAAUGACUAAAUUUGAAGAAAGGACUAAAUUUAAAGAAAGGACUAAAUUUAAAGAAAAAAACUAGUUGAAAGGACUAAAUUUGAAGUUUUUACCCAUUGGCAGUGUGGGAUUUUUUACACUCACAAGAAAUCAAACUAAUUCUUUAUGAUAUAACAUAUUUAUGAGUUGGUGUAUUUGAAUCUAUUAUUGUUAAAAUGUAAUGUUAUUUUGCUUUUGAUUUCUCAAUCUUAUGUUUAACUACCAAAGAAAAAAGCAAGCUACAGGAAAUAUAAUUUAUCUCUAUAGCUAGAAUACCACCUUUGGUGUAAUAAUAAUAGAGCACAUUUGCAUGAGUGAGGUUAGUAUCGCAAUAAGGCUGGAUAGAAUACACGUAAGUAAAAUUGAAUACACCAUAUCUCUAUUUACAAUCAUGCACGUUUUUUUUAGUAUAUAGACGAAAUUUCAAUAGCCACUUUAAAACUCAUACACGUAAGUGUAGAGCCAUGGUUCGAAUUUUGAUUACGAUAUUCAAUUUAGUAAUUUCAAUAAUUUUAUCGGUUGAACAAAAACUUUUUGAUCAAUCCUACACGGUCUUAUAUAUGGUUAAGUUAACAAAUCUGUUGAGUAGUAUUUGGCAUGAUCCCAAUAAAACAACCAUAUCAGUGUUUCCUAUACAUAUAUGAUAUAUGUCUAUCAGAUUAUUAUAAUUAAAAACGGGUCAUGCUAACAAAUGCUUAAAAACACUCUUUAAGGAUUUCAAGUUAAAAAAUUAUUCAUUAUAGGUUGAUCAACCUCAACUUUUCCAUUCAAUAAGGUUUUAACUUAGACUUGACACAUUAGAGCAAAAUACUCUUAAUAAGAAUUAAUGGUAGUUAAUAUAUUCUAUUUUAUUCAAAGGUGAGAAUACACGUUAUUUAUUUAUAGCCUUAAAUUUUAAACUCUUAAUAAGACUAUGUAAAAACGUUACUUUUUAUUUUGUUUUUCAAAAGUGCGUAUGAUAUUUUUCUAGUUGGGGGUGAUGACUUGGCUAGUGCAUAAGAUGCAGCAGGGAACAGUUGAACUGUGCCUAACACUUGCAAGCUAUCUGCCUAUAUACUUGCCCAAAAUAAGGACGAAACACACAAGAACAUCUUAAAGAGCAAUCUCACCAUGCAUGAAAAAAGACAAAAAGUGGUGGAGAGAUUGAUAAAGGGAGAAGAGAAACAAAACACGCCAAAGAUUGUUGACACAGUUCGGUCUAACUUGACCUAAUUUGGAGGAGAGAUCGAUCUCUCCAAUCCACUAUCAAUGAGUUCUUACAAAGGGAUACAAAUGUUUUACAAGAAAGCUCACGAAGAACAAACCUAAUUUCUACCCAUUUUCACAAUCUCACAAAUGAACAAGACACUCAAUGAUUUUCACUCACCCAAGGUGUUUACAAUGUUUCCCAACCCAAGAGAACUCUAAUCAAAGACCCUUAACCCUAAAGUUACCUCAUUUGAUUUCCCAAGUUUUCCUCUCUUGAAGUUCUCUCUCCACCCCCUUCAAAAAUGAGCUGAAACACUUAAAUAGUACAUAGUGUUAAGAAGUUUUAAAUAGCAACUUCACAUUGGAACUUGUAUAUUUUGUAUUAAAUAUAUAGCUUUUUAGUAAAUAAUUAUUAGUUUUCAAUAAAAACUUAAUACUUUUAGUUGUUUUAACAUAUGCAAUGUUGUUGUAACAAAAAAAAAAAACAUAUGCAAUGUUGCACAUGUUAGACAAAUAUAUUAUAGAUUUAAUAAAUAGAAUAAUCAACUACCGAGAGAUAUUCCCAAGGGAGAUACUCAUAAACAUUUAUGUAGGAUGAAUUAAAUUGAUGUAGGUUAUUUGAUUCCGAUUCUUGUUUUUGAUGAAAAGAAUUACAGUAUUGUGUUACGACGUCGUUUUCGGAAGGUCGAAGUCGGAGAAGAACGAAGCGACGCCGACACCGUCACUAGCACAUGUAAUCGGUGGCGGUGGGAAGGAGUAUGCGCUGUCACGGGCGAGGUUUUGUGGCCAGGAGAAGACGAUGGUGCGAAUGAGAUUGCGUUUUUUGCCGGAGAUUUUUUUCGUGGUGGUGUAAGCGGAGUGGUUCAGAAACGAAUCGGAUUGUUGUAUAAUUAGGAAUAAAUUAUCUCUAAAUAAUAAUCUUCAUAUAAAUAAAAACAUCAAUUAAAUAUUAAAGAGAAUAAACUAGAAGGAUAUAAGUAAACUUAUCUGUUCUUGAAAUUGCGGUGAUUUGAAGUCGGUAACGGUGAAGUAAGCAAACAAGAAUUCAUGACCUGCAACAUAGUAAGCCACAUUUAUAUAACCUGAGGCGUGACAUAGUCACUGUCCUUGAGGAUUUUAUCCGCCUCAUAAGCGCAUAUCCUCCUAGGAUAUAACAGUUCUUCUCCGUUACGAAUCAUAACGGAUGUGACAGAACAACUCAAAUAUAUCUCAGAGAUAUCAGAAGAUGUAACCCAAAAACUCAAUAUUUUGUUGAGAGAAAAGAACAAGAGAAAUAUGAAAAUGAGAGAGUAUAUAUGUGGUUGAUGUUUUCUGUACUGCUUUUUUUCAUUUGUUCCAUACGUAUGUGAAUAUAUAUAUGGAAGGAACUAUCAAAUCUCAUAGGUUAACAAAACCAGUUAGUAAAGUAGGCACUAACCUUUGACUAACCAUAAUAAUAGGAACAUGUGGUUACAAAGAAUGAAAUAAGGAUCUCUUAAUAAUGAUGAGUCAUGGAGAUAUUUAAGGGGAUAUUGGAACCUGUCAAUAAAUAGAAAUAAAUUAACAAUUUUAAUUUAAAUUGUUUUCUAGUAAUAAGAAAACUUUUGAAAUAUUUAAUAAGACAAAAAUUACAACAAUGAGAUAGAGUGAGGUGGAGGAAGGGAUGAGAAGCUGAGAGUUUUCCUGGUGGUGGUGGAAGCGGAGGGUUUCAUAGAUGAAUUCGGUGGUGCCAGCCUUGGUUCCCCUAGAUAAAAUAUCUCAAGUUGCUGAUGUUGAUCAGCUUUAAAUCAUCGACUGAGGUUCAUGCUAUGAUGAAGAAGUUUCUAUAAAUAAAAUGCAAAGACUAACCAAAGAGUUGUUUUGAUAAACAUUCAUUCAUUGUACUCCUUGUGCAUCCAAAUAUGACCCCACCAAGUUGAUUCUUCUCCAAAUUUCUACCACAUGGAGUCCUUCUCACUAGUUUUUGUGAGAUAGGUAGAGUCCUUUUGACAUUAAAAAUCUGUGUUUUCAUUUUUGUCCUCAUCCAAACACAAGAGGAGAAAAACUUAUUUAAUUAGAGAAUUUAUGACAAAAAGAGAGAUCGAAGAAAAGUAUAAGAUAUUAAAGAGUUCAAUCUAUUAAAAGUUAAAAUCAACAUAUUUUAAUAUUUUGAACAUUGACAUGACAAUGGAAUUAUAUUGGGGGUAAAUGCUUGAAUAUUAGACCGAUAAAUUUAGUGUGUUUGUAUCAAAAUAAAUUAGUCUGUAUUUGGUUCUGCAUUGACGAAAAAUAAUCUUGAUAAAUUAAUUUUAGAAAAAAAAAUGUGUUGAAUGUAAAGUAAUUUAUAUUUAAAUACAUUAAGUUAAAAGUGAUUUGAACAAUAAACUCCUAUGUAAAAAAUUAAGUUUAUAUUCAAAAACUACAAAUCAUAAUAUCAAUUUGAUAAGCAAAAUCAAUUACAAUCGACAUCAUUCAAAAUUAUAAAAAUCAAUUUUGCUUCUCCUAUUGUAUAACCUAACCCACAAUAUCAAUUUACAUUAACAUGGCAUGAUCCUUGAAGUUUAGCAGGCUUGACACCAAUUGAAAAACAGGACAUUAAGAAACUUUUUUUUUUGGUUACAAGACAUUAAGAAACUUAAAACAAAUAAGUUUUAAAAAACAGAACAUUAAAAUCCUAUAUUCAUAAUAAGUGACUAUAAAGAGAAUAUGUUACAACAUUAUCAACCACCAAUUCAAACCAUGUAACAUUGUACUCAACCAUGGGCGGUUCCACCGUGUAGCGACCCCGGGCGGUCGCCCGGGCUCGAUCGAUAAUUUUUGCACAUUAGAUUCAACCAAAAAGCUCAUUAACACAUUUAUAAAAAGAAAAAUUUGGGCAAUUUGAAAAUUGUCACACGUAAAUAGGUCUUGGAAUUUUAUUUGGCACACUAUUGACAGUUUCAUCUCUCUUAUUUUAAUGGGUUAAUUGUUCAAAUUGACUCUUUAAUAUACUUUAUGUUUGAAAAAUGACCCAAUAAAAUACAAAAUAUAUACUCUAACAUUGUAACUUGAAUUUUUUCUUAUUUAAUUUUGAACACCCUAUAAUAUACGUGUAGUCUAAACAUGUGACCUAAAUGUUGAAUUUUUUCACUAUUUUUUUCUUACAUGUUUAGCACGUUAAAAUAUAGCUUUACAUAAAAUUAAAUUUCUUCGACCAGGGAUAAAUUAAUUAUGAAUUUUUAUUCCCUCAUAAUUAUGAAUUUCUUAAAUAAUUUAUAAUUAAUUUGUAUCUCGUUUAAAAUUUACAAAAUUUCAUUGUGAAUGUUUCUUAUCAUGUUCUAGUCAUGCCUACAAAAUUAGGGAACUAAAUUUGACUUGUGAGUAUACGCUUACGCGGAACAAAAUUUCAAUUUUGCACGUUUCAGUUGAAAAAUCAAAAUAAAUUUAAACGAUUUCGAAAUGCUAUGAAACUUUACAAAUCCCUUUUAUGUAUUUUUAUAGAUGUCUUUGCAAAUAAUGAGCUUAAAAUUUGAUUUAUAGAUCGAGAUUUCUGUUGUUUUGUUUUUUGAGCUUUUGACACUUUAAAAAUUCAUAAUUAAUUUGUCGUUUGUCGAAAAUUUAUAAUUUUUUUGUUAAAGCCAUAUUUUAACGUUCUUAACUCGUCGCUGGAAAAUCAUGAAAAAAUUCAAUCUCUCAGUUGCUUUUUUGGACUUCGCGUAUAUUACAGGUUAUAAAUAAUAAAAAUCUCGAAUUACAUGGUCAGAAUACAUGUUAUUUAAUUACAGGGUCAAUUUUCAGACUUCACGUAUAUUACGUGGUUAAUUUAAAUUAAUAACCCUAUUUUAAAUUGUACUUUUGUUGAUAAAAUGAUAAACUUCAUUUAUUUUGAUUUUUUUUAGGUAAAAAAAAAAAAAAAAUCGAUUUAUGACUGUUUAUAUAUUAUAUCACAUGUGAAUUUACGAUUAAUUUUUCGCCCAGGCUCCAUAAAUUUCCUGGCUCCGCCACUGUACUCAACAACACUUGAUCAUAUAAAAUUCAAACAAAAACAUAAAAGAAACAGAAAGAAAAACAGUGAAAAAGUAUAUGCAUACAAAAAAAAUAUAUAAAAUAGAAAUGAGACAAAAAGAAAAAUAAUUUUUUUUUGAAAGAAAAAAGAAAAAUACUUGCAGACAAUUAUAUUGUAAAAAUAAUGUUAGAAUAGGAAACUCAACACAAAGUACUAAAUGUAAGGAAAUAUUUAUAUAGUACAAAUUGCUCAUGCUUUUUCUAAAAAUAUGAAGUAUCUCAUAAUUUAUACAUUUUUUUACACAACCUCAUCUUUUGUUCAUGUGAUUAGAUUUUGUGUGAGUUUAACAAAAGAAAAUUUAAAAAUACUCCUCUUAUAGAGAAGACACAAAAGUCAUGCAAUGUUACAUUACUUUUGCUCAUUCAUACAAUUAUUAACAUUUUAACAAUGAAAAUAAUAUAUUAUUAAAACAAAACAAUAAAAAUAAUAUAGUUUGCAUGCUAUAUUUGCUAUAUACACGAAUUAGUAAUUUCUAUGUUAAAUGACUUGUCAUCUGGUUAUAACAAAAAGUAUUUAUCCUGAGGAAAUGAACUAAGAUAAUAUUGAUUCUCAUUAAUCUCUAAAAUGAAUAAGUGAUUAUAUAAUCAAUUAACUACUUGAUUUGAAAUUAUUAUAAUAAGAUAAUAUUAUGAAAUAUUGAUCUUCUGGAUGUAUGCAGCAGGCAAAGUGGACCUUCAAAGUUUGUCAGAUUACAUUGCUUUGUUUAUAUUUUUAAAAAUUAAAUGUCUUUUUUCCUUCAAACACUCCAACAUGUUAUCAAACUUCGAGCUUUCAAACCAAAUUGUAAAUUUAACUUGUAACUAAUUAAAACUCAAUUAGUUGGAUUGGUGUGAUGUUUUUUUCUAUUAAAUAAUAAUAAUAAUUCUAUCAUGAAAGUCGUAGACAUGCUUUGUUAGCUUUCGAACGAAUUGUUACAUUCUUCGAUUCAAUAAGGCUCGGCCACUCUAUGACCUUUUUAGUGAAAUAAAACGGGUCUAAAACGAGAAAAAUUCGUAAACUAACAAGGAAAUUCACUUAACCUCCAUUCCAGCCGAAUUUUUAGAAGAAGCUAAAAUCAACCAUGGAUGUCGUAGCUAUGCUUGUAGCUUUCAUCAAAUGGUCACAUGCUUCGAUUCGAAAAGACUAUGUCACUUUAUGGUCUUCUUCGUAAAAAAGAGUAAAAAAAAUGAGUAAAAUCCGUAAAUUUACAAGGAAAUUCUCUUAACCUCCAUUUCGGCGGUUUUUUAAAAUGCUAAAAUCAACCAUGAAAAAGUAAUAACUAUGCUUGUUAUCUUUCUGAUGAGUUGUUACAUAAUUCUUUUAACCUCCACUUUAUGGAAAAGUAAUAACUAUGCGUAUCAAAAACUGCAAUUGUUGGCUAGAAACCAUUCAAAAACAAAAUCAUUGAUUUCUUCAUCAUUGAAAGUUUGUGGUAAUAAUUUUAUCAUUUUGUAUAUUCUUACAACUUAUCGCAAAUGACAAGUUUGUAAGUGUUUUUCACCGAGUAUUAUCACAAAACAUAUGUUCGAACAUUUCUGUAGCAAGCUUCUUUAUGAAUUCACGUGACCCAAUUGAAGGUACGUCAAAGGUUUAUGGUCCUAUUAAUGAAAGAAAACCCACCAAUCUACAAAGACGUUACCAUAAAAGAUUUCUAGGCACAUUUUUAUGUAGAAGGCCUUAAUGGAAAAUCUUCCUCGGAGGCCUUAAUGGAAAUUCUUUCAAAAUGUGAUGAAGAUAAGUUAAGCAUGCAUGCUUGAACAUCUUCAUGAUGAGCCAAUAGAAGUAGGCACGGCAACAAAACUCAUACCCGCGGUUAUCUGUUCAGACCAAACUCAAUUUGACGGGAUUUUUCCGUUUUGACUAGUUUGAGUUUUUUCUAACCCGCCUCAAACCCAUACUCAAACCCGUCUCGAAUGUAAAAAAUUAUUUUAUGUUGAUAUGUCAUGUUAUUUUGUUUGAUAAUUUUCAUUUUCAUGUUAUAAAAACUACCAUUGAUAUUUAAAGGAGCAACUAGUGGUAUUGGCUUGGGACUUGGGAGUGUGCUCCUCCUCGAAGUCUCAUGUUCGAUUCUCUCAGGUGUCAAUUUAGGUGGGUUAAUUUAGCUUAUUAAAAAAAAAAAGGAGCAACUAAAUUAUUCGGUCUAACAGAUGUUAAAGUGAACAUAUUAUUGGAUAAUGUAUUACAACAUUGCUCUUGGGGCUUGUUAAAAAAACAUUACUCUUGGGGUUGCAAAAAAACUUCUAUUUUUUUAUGGAAAAAAUUAUUCAAUACGGGAAUAGGUAUGGGGCAGGGAUACCCGAACCCGUUGGGGACGGGGAUGAAAUUCAAUUUCUCAUCCUCGUUAGAUAUGGGUAAGGUAAUAUGUAAGUAUAUAAGAACGGAAAAUGUAAAACCAGUCUUCACCCCGCCCUAUUGCCAUGCCUAAAUGAAAGUAUUCAGCAACCACACUUAUAGGGAGAGUCAAUGGCACUAAGAAGCAAUAAUACAUAUCUCAUCCUCGUUAGAUAUGGGUAAGGUAAUAUGUAAGUAUAUAAUCACAAUGAUGUCAAUCGCAGAUCACUAAAUAGCAUAUCAUAGAACAAUAGUCAUUAAUUCAAAUUCUACACUUUAGCGUUGAUGUGGACGUUAUUUGACCACAUUGCACCCCUAACACUGAAAGGUGUACUUAAGUGUGGACUCCAAAUGAUGAUUUAACUACGAUGAAUGUUGAUAACUAAAGAAGGUCAAUCAAUUUAGUCCCUCCAUCAAAACUAAUGAAAGUCUUGUGUAUUGAUUUAAAUAGUCUCUUGUUGCAUCAAGACUAAAUUGAUGAAAUGACCAAACUUACUAACACUAUUCAACCUAAGGGACUAAAUUACUAUUUCAUAAAUUUGCGGGAUAAACCCAAAAUCGUAAUCAUCAUUAAAAUUAAUUAUUCCACCCGUUUCAAAAUAAUUAUCUUUUAACAUUUUUUUCUGUCACAAACCUUAAAAAUCAACCAAAUUAAUCAUUUCCUUAAAAACUGUGCUCAAACCUUAAACAACUAUUAUUCUGAGACGGAGUGGGUACAAAUAUGUUGUCCAUGUGUGUAGUUUUGUUAGCCACAUGAAAUUAGAGAGUGAUUUUCAAAAUAUUAUUGAUUACUUGUUUUCAAUAUUUGCCUCUAAUUAAUAUUAUUUUUGUCUCCGUCUCAUUUUAAUUGUCGCUUUAAGGUUAUGCGCGGUUCUUAAGAAAAUGAUUAUUUGACUUGAUUUCAAUGAUAAAAUUAAUAUCAUUUGCUAUAAUAUCCAUAGUAAUGUAGUUAGUGGAGGUAGUUGAGUUGAGUGAAAUUCAAAUUGUGAAGAUAUAUUCGAAAGUGACAAUUAUUUUAAAACAAGAAAAAAAAUGUUAAAAACUAUUAAAAUGAGACGGAGGGAAUAGUGUUAGAGUAGUGUCCAUAUGAGCUGCCAAAUUGUGAAGGGGUGAAAGUUGGGGGUUAUAAGUACAAUUUCCAAAGUUAAGGGUGAAAAAGUAAGUUCAUUUUAGCCUAAUAAAUAAAUAAUGUUUCUAGUCACACCCAUUAUAACUCUCACACCAAAAAAUGACAAAGAACACAUUUGUUAUAGUUUUUUUUAUUAAGAAAAAUGACUUAAAAAAAAAAAACAAUCACUUUUAAGAAUGUUGCAUUCGUUUGUUAUAACUUUUCAAAAAAAAAUCAGAAUCAAACAGGUUCAAAUGAAAAGUUGUUAAUAGUAGCUUCUCGAAAAAUAGAUUUUUUUAAUAGAGUGAUAAAAUAUUGAUUAAAAGAUUAAACUAAUUUUUAAAUUAUUUUCUUAAAAAAAAUGUUUUUAUUAAGGUAAAUAACACAAAUUAGAUUUUAAUUUUACAUAAGAUUAUACGACCUUUAUUUUAAUCCGUAGCCAUAAAACCAAAAACCCACUUAAAUACAAUUUAAUUCCCAAUUCCUGCAAAACCUUCCUUCAUUAUUAUCUCCUCUUCCAAAACAGCUCUUCUGGAAGCAAUUUUGAGACAACAAGGCUAGAAAAUUGUGUUCUUGAUUUGUGUUUUUUCCCCUCAUCUCAAUUCAUGCCAUUGUUGUGUGUUUCUGGGUUUUCCAAUUUAUACAUCGUGGGUUUUGUGGGUGCAGAGGCAAGCGUGAACAAUUCAGCGUAAUCAUCAAUUUAGAUUACAUUAGUUUUUUGUGACAGCAAGUUCUCUGGAUUGUUAUUGUACAAUGUAGGGGUUUUUGAGAAAGUUACAAAAUCUAUGAUUAGUUUGUUUGUGAUUUUUAACAAGUUAAUGUUAAUUAGGAUUUUGAUAUGUGAGUAAGGAAUGGUUUUUAAGUUUGGAUAAUGGUUGGCUUGGAAUCUUGAAGUGUGUUCCUCUCAAGGUCUCAGGUUCCAUUCCCUCUGUUGCCAAUUUUGGUGGGCAAGUUCAUACUUAGAACGGGACCCCCGCAAGUGGGCAGUGGGAUUGGUCCACUCGGAUUAGUCGGUCCUUGGAUCGAUACCGAGUUUUCAAAAAAAUAAUAAUAUUGGAUCAUUAUAAAAUUUCUUUGUGAAUGUUAAUUAGGAAGAACUGUUGCUUUUGUGAUCAUAGUAGCUCUCUUAUCUCCAUCUUUUGCACAAGACCUCGAUUGAUAUUUUUAUUUAUUUGCAUACCACUGCUUGCUGUAACUGUGUGAGUUGUUGACUUGUCAUUCAAACUAAAUGUUGAAUUUUUUGUCUGUCUGUCUCAGAUCAAGUUUGCAAGUGGUUGUGACUGACUUGUGCUGGAAGGAAACAUGGAGUCUGGUUUAACUAUCACCGCCGGCAGCACACAAAGCGGAAACCUAAAACGAUUGGAAUUGGAAUUGGAAUUGCAGGCUGAGUCGAUUUCCCUCAUUAAAGUUCCCUCAAAACCUGAUAUUCAUUUCGGAAACCUAAAACGAUCUCAAGCUGUGUAGCAUCAACUUUAACACCGACUCACCCACAUCCUGCAACCAUAUUGACCUUACAUUCCCACACCUAAUAAAUUUUGAGGCUAAAAACUGCUCUUGGUUUCUUGAUUCUAGAACGGUCUUUGUACAUGCACCUCUACUUCAAAGCAUUCUCAUUCUAAAUGGCAUGCACAUGUUGUAUGGAGAGGACAACUCUGCUAUCAAUUUUGUAAGUUCUUCGCAUCUGCAAGAAUUCACUUACGGGAGUAAAUCUGAAGUUAUUUGUAUGUCGUUGGCAUACAAAGAUUUAUGUUGUUCAAUAAAGAUGCUAAUGUUUAUCUUGAUGUCAUGUAAUAGUUGCACUACCUAAGGGGGUUACACCUUGGUAAUUUGAUGUAUUCAUAAAAUACUUGUCCCAAAUUACUUUCAUGCAUUUCAUAAGUUUGUUAUAAUCUAUAAUCUAAGUUUAUUCCUCUAUUGCAAUAUGAAUUAGUUUCUUUGUGUUACCCAGCAUCUGGUACCACCACUACAACUAUGUGAAUUUUCAAUGUUGACGAAAUUCGAGGUUUACUUCAAAAAUCACCAGCUCUUCAGACACUAGUUCUCAAGGUUGAUAAUUAGUUUUUUAUCCACUUUUCUUUAUGCUCGUUUAGCGUCUUAUUUAUACUUUGUUUGAUGUUUAUCUUUAUCAUCAGGAUAUAUAUGGAUAUACGGAAGAGCGUUUGAAUUCUGCUGUUGUGCCAAAGUGUUUCGCAUCUCUCCAUGAUGUGACUUUUUCAGGCGUUGAUGGAGACGAGCUUGAGCUGCGUUUAGCUAAAUUUUUUAUGCAAAAUUGUAUGAUGCUACCUAGGAUGCAUUUCUUCAAAGAUAGUCAAAGCCAAGGCCAUGACAAAGAUGAGGUUUUGGAAGAAUUUUUUAAUAAGCUGCACUCAUUUGGUAGCCUCUAUUUUGUUUUUGUUUAUUGGCUUAAUUGCACUUUUGGACCCCUAUCUUUUCAAAAGUUGUGGUUAUGGCCCACUAACUAAUUUAAAUACAAAACAGCCCCUAUGUUUUGAUUUUUUGGCAGUUUUGGACCCUUAGUCCAUUAGUGAGGUGCCACGUGGUGUAACGUCCACUUUCGUUAAUUGUUUAUUUAAAUCGAGUUUAGGCGAUUAUAUUAUAUUUAUAUAAUAUAUGCAUGAUUAUGGUAUGAUUUGAAUGAUUUACGUUUAUAUUGAUGAUUUAGUUGAUAUUGUGAUAAGUUAUGAGUUUUGGAAGAUUUGAUAAGAUUAAGGGAUUUAUUUUAUUGUUAAAUNNNNNNNNNNNNNNNNNNNNNNNNNNNNNNNNNNNNNNNNNNNNNNNNNNNNNNNNNNNNNNNNNNNNNNNNNNNNNNNNNNNNNNNNNNNNNNNNNNNNNNNNNNNNNNNNNNNNNNNNNNNNNNNNNNNNNNNNNNNNNNNNNNNNNNNNNNNNNNNNNNNNNNNNNNNNNNNNNNNNNNNNNNNNNNNNNNNNNNNNNNNNNNNNNNNNNNNNNNNNNNNNNNNNNNNNNNNNNNNNNNNNNNNNNNNNNNNNNNNNNNNNNNNNNNNNNNNNNNNNNNNNNNNNNNNNNNNNNNNNNNNNNNNNNNNNNNNNNNNNNNNNNNNNNNNNNNNNNNNNNNNNNNNNNNNNNNNNNNNNNNNNNNNNNNNNNNNNNNNNNNNNNNNNNNNNNNNNNNNNNNNNNNNNNNNNNNNNNNNNNNNNNNNNNNNNNNNNNNNNNNNNNNNNNNNNNNNNNNNNNNNNNNNNNNNNNNNNNNNNNNNNNNNNNNNNNNNNNNNNNNNNNNNNNNNNNNNNNNNNNNNNNNNNNNNNNNNNNNNNNNNNNNNNNNNNNNNNNNNNNNNNNNNNNNNNNNNNNNNNNNNNNNNNNNNNNNNNNNNNNNNNNNNNNNNNNNNNNNNNNNNNNNNNNNNNNNNNNNNNNNNNNNNNNNNNNNNNNNNNNNNNNNNNNNNNNNNNNNNNNNNNNNNNNNNNNNNNNNNNNNNNNNNNNNNNNNNNNNNNNNNNNNNNNNNNNNNNNNNNNNNNNNNNNNNNNNNNNNNNNNNNNNNNNNNNNNNNNNNNNNNNNNNNNNNNNNNNNNNNNNNNNNNNNNNNNNNNNNNNNNNNNNNNNNNNNNNNNNNNNNNNNNNNNNNNNNNNNNNNNNNNNNNNNNNNNNNNNNNNNNNNNNNNNNNNNNNNNNNNNNNNNNNNNNNNNNNNNNNNNNNNNNNNNNNNNUUGGUACCACAUGCAUAUAAGGAGUCUAAGAGCAUUGUCACAUUGUCAUGUCCAUAAUGCUAUGUUGUUGAUGACGAAUAAACAUGUGAAUACGUGAUACUUGUUAUUUGAAUGUGCAAAGUUAUGUAAGAAUGAUUAUGAUGUUAAUGUUAAUUAUAAUUCGAAUUACUUUGAUUAACAUUAUUUUGUUAUGAAAUCUCACCCCUUCUCCUUGAAAAUGUUGCCCUUCGUAUGGGUAACUUGCAGGUGAUCGUGCUUAGUGUGCAGUUGCCGUCGUGAGUGGCCUUGCCUUCACUGUGUCGUCUAGGUCGCUCUGAUAUGUAACGGGAUGGGGCUAUAUGUUUUGCAUGCUUCAUUCUAUUGCGUGAACAAUAUGUUAUUUGUUUAUUGAACUAACUCUUUUGAGAUUAUUUUGAUGGGGCCUGCGUGCCAAAAUGUUUUACGAAUAUGAUAUAAUUUUCGCUGCAAUGUUUACGACUUUUGGUAAAUUAUUAUUUAACUGUUUUGGAUCAUGUUAUAUGUGAUAUCCCGUUGUUUUAUGAUGAUUACUCUGAUUUAUGUUAAGAAAUUUUUAUGUUGGGAAAACGGGGUGUUACACGUGGCCCCCUAAAUAAUACAUGUGGCACCUCACUAAUGGACUGUGGGUCCAAAACUGCCAAAGAAUCAAAACAUAGGGGGCUGUUUUGUAUUUAAAUUAGUUAGGGGGCCAUAACCGCAACUUUUGGAAAGAUAGGGGUCCAAAAGUGCAAUUAAGCCUAAAAGAUUAGUAACAAAUGUGAGUAAAAAAUAUUGUUAAAGAUUGGACUUUAAAUCCUCUAAAAAAAAUAUUAGUAACAAACGUGAGCAAAAAAUAAGGUUAAAUAUUGAACUUUAAAUCCUUUAAAAAAAUAUUAGUAACAAACGUGAACAAAAAAUAAUAAUGUUAAAGAUUGGAUUUUAAAUAAUCUAAAAAAAGAUUAGUAACAAACGCGAGUAAAAAAUAAUGUUAAUGAUUGGACUUUAAAUCUUCUGAAGAAAAAAAAAAUUGGUAACAAACGUGAGCAAAAUAUAAUGUUAACGAUUGAACUUUAAAUUCUCUAAAAAAAAAAUAUUAGUAACAAAUAUGAACAAAAAACAAUGUUUAAUAUUAGACUUUAAAUCCUCUAAAAAAAAAAAAUUAGGACUCAGAAUAUUUUAGAAAAAUUUUUGUUAGCACUAUAUUAAAUAUUAAUUAUCAAUCAGUUUCCAAGAGAAGAAUAUAAUUUGUUGUCAUUUGACGAGGUUGAAGGAGAUCCUCAUAACUUAUAUCAACAUGAAUUCCUAAACUCAAUUGUUCAAGGAAGUAUCCCACCACAUAUUUUAAAGGUAAAAAAGAUGCACCUUUGAUGUUGUUGCGAAACAUAGACUCUAGAUAUGGUCUGUGUAAUGAGACACGAUUGUUAUGUCGUGGUUUAUUUAAGAAUAUGUUGGAUGUGGAAUUCCUAACAGGAAGUAAUGCUAGAAAAAGAGCAUUCUUGCCCAAAAUUAAAUUAACAAUAAAUGUGAGUUCCGGACUUUAUUUGUGCUUAGUAGAAAACAGUUUCCUGUAGACUAAGUUUUUUAUAUUGCCAUAAAUAAGUCACAAGGGCAGACCAUUCCCAAUGUCGGAAUCUAUCUUCCACGACAUGCUUUCAGCCAUGGUCAAUUAUAUGUAGCUUUAUCAAGAGGAGUUUCUCAAAAUUCAACAAAAGUUCUCAUUAAAAAAGGGAAAAUAGAAGGAGAAGAUGGAGACUUUACAAAAAAUGUAGUUUUUGAAGAUAUUCUUUUAUCCUAAUAAUAACCAUGUUUCUUUUACAUAACAUGUCAUUUAUACAUAUAUAUUAUGAUGUUACUAAUUACUAUUAGAAUAAACAAUAAAUGAUUAUUAUUUUAUCUUAAUUUUAUAUGCAUGCAAACUAAAAUAUUUUGAGUUCAAAAAUAAUUUUAUUAUAUGUCUUGACAAUAUUUUGUUUAUAAAUUAAUAUAUCAAUAAUUUCCAUUGAUAUUUUAAAAUUUUAAAAUUUUAAUCAAAAUUAUACAAACAAAAAUAGUAAAAUAAACACAUACAUUAGCGCAGUAGAAAGAGCGGACAGACGGACACAAUAAUGUCCGUCUUUCCGCUUGUUGAAAAUAAAAUUGCUACUACAUUUUAAUAUCUUUCUGUUAAUUAAACCUUGUUUUUGUUAACUUCAGUAUCCGUGAUGAGGGAAAUUUCAAUUCUUUAUCAAACGUAGCUAGCAAUGGGAGACCUGUGUGUUUGUUCUUAGGACUAAGAGCGUAAUCAAAAUUUUAAGUUUUUAGAUAACUGUUUUUCUUUUAGAAAUAAUAUUUGAACAUCCAUUACUGUGCUUAGUAUCACUGAGAUAUUUCCUCAAGUAAGUCUGAACUUUGCUGGUGGUGGAUCUCAACCACCAACAAAGUAGAUUAUCCAAAGAAUUCAAGCUUCAAUUUUUCUGAGGAUUGGUUUGGAUUUUGUGAUUUCCAAAGAUGUUAAUUUUAAGUCAGAGUGAGUUGCAGUUGGCAGUUAUAGAAGAGUCGUUGUCUAAUCUAUUAAUCUGAUUAUGAUUUUACUUUGUUUCUAAAGCUGCCUAAUGUACCUUUCUGUAAACAUUUUACAUGAUGACUUAUUUUAUUGAACGAAUCAUUUAUUAAGGCAUAGGAUACUGCAUAUUAUUUGGUUAAGAUUUCCUUUAUUAUCCUUGCAAUCUCUCUGUUUAGUUGAGUGCAUUAGCAGGAUUCAAACAAAGAAAGAAAACUUUUCUUGUAAUUAACAUUACAUGUCAUUUUCUUUGUGAAAUCUGGUACUUUUUAGUGUAGAGAAAGGUUUAAGGCAUGUCUCAGAUAUUUACACCAAAUUCUUGGAUUACAUUCAUUUAUUUUUUAUUUUUCUUUAUUCACAUAUUUUACACAUUUGAUUCUGAUCAUGCUAUUAAAUUUAAAUUCAACAAUGCAGGUUCUUUGGCAGUUAAUGUCUCUGCAUCAACUGACACCGGCACAAGUGAAUAUGUGAAUGCUGGAGAGAUAGGCGGAAGCAUUGUUGUCAAAAUCCCAACUUAAAUCCUAAAAAUUUAGGAUUUUGCGACUUUCUUCACCUUCAAUGACUCAAAUCCAUAGUAGAAUCCCAAAAAAUAGAUAAAAUCAAUCGAUUUUGAUUGCGAUUUUACGAUUUUUUAUAAACUAAGUCAUUUAUGACUAUAUACCAUUUAUAACAUAUAUUUAGUAUUAAUUUUUUUUUUCGGUAGGUUACGAUUUUAAAAUUUCCUAUAUCGAUUUUACAAAAUUCCUUGGGUAAAAUCAUUCUAUCUUGAUUGUGAUUUUACGAGUUCCGAUUUUGCUAUUCUCUUUCGACUUGAAGUAAAGUCCCAAUUUUAACGAUCUUGGGUGGAAGCAAAGACAGUCUACUCCCUUGAUUGAGAAUUACCCGACUGAGCAUGUUCUUCUUGGACUGUUGGCAGAGAGUGCUUUGUUUGUGUGAGAUUGUAAGUGGGGACGAGAAAGGCAAUGUAUAAAUAAAAGAGAUGAAUUCUUGAACAAUAUUGGAAGAAUUCUUGAACAAUAUUGGAAAACACUCAAUUUUCAUAUUGAUAGAGGAUUGAAAAAUGAGUGUACUAUUAUAUAAUGAGUGAUUUAUAAAGAAUUAUAUUCAUCAAAUUGAAAUAAUUUUGUAAGGUUGAGUUACUCGAAUUUACUAUGUAACAUAACAAGAGGUGCAUUCCCUCAAAAAAAAAAAAAAAAAGAGGUGUAUUGAA
This 19504-nucleotide long non-coding RNA is filed under the name Medicago truncatula (barrel medic). RNAcentral describes it as "long non-coding RNA (MTRU_LNC001660)". The record is from RNAcentral. Lineage: Eukaryota; Viridiplantae; Streptophyta; Magnoliopsida; Fabales; Fabaceae.